UACGUAGGGUGCAAGCGUUAAUCGGAAUUACUGGGCGUAAAGCGUGCGCAGGCGGUUUUGUAAGUCUGUCGUGAAAGCCCCGGGCUCAACCUGGGAAUGGCGAUGGAGACUGCAAGGCUUGAAUCUGGCAGAGGGGGGUAGAAUUCCACGUGUAGCAGUGAAAUGCGUAGAGAUGUGGAGGAACACCGAUGGCGAAGGCAGCCCCCUGGGUCAAGAUUGACGCUGAUGCACGAAAGCGUGGGGAGCGAACAGG
RNAcentral lists this ribosomal RNA (253 nucleotides) under uncultured bacterium. Its description in RNAcentral is "partial 16S ribosomal RNA". It matches the Rfam family "Bacterial small subunit ribosomal RNA", at positions 524 to 776 of the family's 1533-position model. The record is from RNAcentral.